AGAGUUUGAUCAUGGCUCAGGACGAACGCUGGCGGCGCGCUUAACACAUGCAAGUCGAGCGAGAACCGGGCCUUCGGGCCCGGGGACAGCGGCGAACGGGUGAGUAACACGUGAGUAAUCCACCCUCGGCACCGGAAUAGCCCGGGGAAACCCGGAUUAAUGCCGGAUGGCCCAACAGCUCUUCGGGGCGGUUGGAAAAGGUAGCUUCGGCCUCCGGCCGAGGACGAGCUCGCGGCGGAUUAGCUUGUUGGUGAGGGUAACGGCCCACCAAGGCGACGAUCCGUAGCUGGUCUGAGAGGACGAUCAGCCACACUGGGACUGAGACACGGCCCAGACUCCUACGGGAGGCAGCAGUGGGGAAUCUUGCGCAAUGGGCGAAAGCCUGACACAGCGACGCCGCGUGGGGGAAGAAGGCUUUCGGGUUGUAAACCCCUUUCAGAAGGGACGAAGCUACUCGGGUUAAUAGCCCAGAGGGUGACGGUACCUUCAGAAGAAGCCCCGGCUAACUACGUGCCAGCAGCCGCGGUAAUACGUAGGGGGCAAGCGUUGUCCGGAUUUAUUGGGCGUAAAGAGCGUGUAGGCGGCCUGGAAGGUCCGUUGUGAAAACUCGAGGCUCAACCUCGAGACGCCGAUGGAAACCACCUGGCUAGAGUCCGGAAGAGGAGAGUGGAAUUCCUGGUGUAGCGGUGAAAUGCGCAGAUAUCAGGAAGAACACCCGUGGCUAAGGCGGCUCUCUAGUACGGUACUGACGCUGAGACGCGAAAGCGUGGGGAGCGAACAGGAUUAGAUACCCUGGUAGUCCACGCCGUAAACGAUGGGUGCUAGGUGUGGGAGGUGUCGACUCCUUCCGUGCCGAAGCUAACGCAUUAAGCACCCCGCCUGGGGAGUACGGCCGCAAGGCUAAAACUCAAAGGAAUUGACGG
This 923-nucleotide ribosomal RNA is filed under the name uncultured bacterium. RNAcentral's name for it is "bacterial SSU rRNA". It matches the Rfam family "Bacterial small subunit ribosomal RNA", at positions 8 to 916 of the family's 1533-position model. The record is from RNAcentral.